GAUUUCACCAAGUGUUAAUGAACUGGAAAAAAACCUGGGUCAGGAGCCAGGAUUUUGCCAACUUUUUGUAAUAACGGUGUUUAAUUUCCAGUCUGUGCAAGAUUUGGCUUGGACAAUGAUGCUCAUCUGGCCCUGAUGACACUCACUGGAAUUUCAGCGCUAUGACCUGCUGCAAAUACUAUGCAGACAAAAAGGCCCAUAUAUUACACAUGUACCUCUUUAUGACUGCUCUGGACCCCCCU
RNAcentral lists this long non-coding RNA (242 nucleotides) under Scleropages formosus (Asian bonytongue). RNAcentral describes it as "lncRNA (ENSSFOG00015025017.1)". The record is from RNAcentral. Lineage: Eukaryota; Metazoa; Chordata; Actinopteri; Osteoglossiformes; Osteoglossidae.